CCACUAUAGAAGCUGAGCCCUAGAAGACAUCCCGCAAGCACAUGCGGCUUUACUCCAAUGGAAAUGAUUACUGAGAGCCUGGCCUGAGCAAACCACCAACAGUCUACUUAACAGAAGUAGAGAGAUUUUAGAAGUAGGAAAUGCAUUUCAUGAUGUCUGCUUCCAGGACAAACUGCAGCCAAAGAAACACUUUCCGGAGUUGGUCUGAUCAAAUGUCUAUCUCAAGAACAAAGGCAGCCAGCCUUCACGAGGGCUCCUUUGCUCGGCUCACAUGAACUCAUCAGAAUCGUUACCAUCCUGUAGGAGACCAAGAGUGAAAGGUUCAGAAAGAC
Psammomys obesus (fat sand rat) is the source of this 332-nucleotide long non-coding RNA. RefSeq lists it as uncharacterized. The transcript is spliced from 4 exons. NCBI's taxonomy places the organism in Eukaryota, Metazoa, Chordata, Mammalia, Rodentia, Muridae. The record is from RefSeq and is a predicted model, not a curated record.